Molecule: ribosomal RNA, 253 nt
Filed under: uncultured bacterium
Lineage: Bacteria
Description: partial 16S ribosomal RNA
Rfam family: Bacterial small subunit ribosomal RNA
Source: RNAcentral
UACGUAGGGUGCGAGCGUUAAUCGGAAUUACUGGGCGUAAAGCGUGCGCAGGCGGUUUUGUAAGUCAGAUGUGAAAUCCCCGGGCUUAACCUGGGAAUGGCAUUUGGGACUGCAAGGCUGGAGUUUGGCAGAGGAGACUGGAAUUCCCGGUGUAGCAGUGAAAUGCGUAGAUAUCGGGAGGAAUACCGAUGGCGAAGGCAGGUCUCUGGGCUAUAACUGACGCUCAUGCACGAAAGCGUGGGGAGCAAACAGG